RNAcentral lists this ribosomal RNA (1186 nucleotides) under Staphylococcus saprophyticus. RNAcentral describes it as "bacterial SSU rRNA". It matches the Rfam family "Bacterial small subunit ribosomal RNA", at positions 322 to 1465 of the family's 1533-position model. The record is from RNAcentral. Lineage: Bacteria; Bacillati; Bacillota; Bacilli; Caryophanales; Staphylococcaceae.
AGCCCCUUCCCCUUUUCCGGGAGGGGCAGGCACGUCACGGGAUACAUUCUUGUCAAGAGGGAAGACAUGAUCUGAGCAACCCCGCGUCGAGUGAAUGAAAAGGAAUUUUCUGUUUCGUUAAAAACUAUCUUCUUUUGGGGAAGGAAACAAAACAGGGUAGGUAGAAUGUGCUUCAUCAUCGUCUGGUGCCGUAAUCAAGAAAAGACACGGGCAAACUAACGUUGCCAGCAGCCCGCGGUAAUAUAUAGGUGGCAAGCCGUUAUCUGGAAUAUUGGCGGAAAGAGCGCGUAGGCGGUUUUUUUAGUCUGUUGUGAAAAGCCCACGCCUCACUCCCGGAGGGGUCAUUGGAAACUGGGAAACUUGAGUGCAGAAGAGGAAAGUGGAAUUCCAUCUGUAGCGGUGAAAUGAGCAGAGAUAUGGAGGAACACCAGUGGGGAAGGAGGCUUUCUGGUCUGUAACUGACGCUGAUGUGCGAAAGAGUGGGGAUCAAACAGGAUUAGAUACCCUGGUAGUCCACGCCGUAAACGAUGAGUGCUAAGUGUUAGGGGGUUUCCGCCCCUCAGUGCUGCAGCUAACGCACUAAGCACUCCGCCCGGGGAGUACGACCGCAAGGUUGAAACUCAAAGGAAUUGACGGGGGGCCGCACAAACGGUGGAGCAUGUGGUUUAAUUAGAAGCAACGCGAAGAACCUUCCCAAAUCUUGACAUCCUUUGAAAACUCUAGAGAUAGAGCCUUCCCCUUCGGGGGACAAAGUGACAGGUGGUGCAUGGUUGUCGUCAGCUCGUGUCGUGAGAUGUUGGGUUAAGUCCCGCAACGAGCGCAACCCUUAAGCUUAGUUGCCAUCAUUAAGUUGGGCACUCUAGGUUGACUGCCGGUGACAAACCGGAGGAAGGUGGGGAUGACGUCAAAUCAUCAUGCCCCCUAUGAUUUGGGGUACACACGUGCUACAAUGGACAAUACAAAGGGCAGCUAAACCGCGAGGUCAUGCAAAUCCCAUAAAGUUGUUCUCAGUUUGGAUUGUAGUGUGCAACUCGACUACACGAAGCUGGAAUCGCUAGUAAUCGUAGAUCAGCAUGCUACGGUGAAUACGUUCCCGGGUCCUGUACACACCCCCCGUCGCACCCCGAGAGUUUUAACACCCGAAGCCGGUGGAGUAACCAUUUAUGGAGCAAGCCGCCAAAAGGGG